CCACCCAGGGACGGCGUCUUUUG
RNAcentral lists this non-coding RNA (23 nucleotides) under Cricetulus griseus (Chinese hamster). The record is from RNAcentral. Lineage: Eukaryota; Metazoa; Chordata; Mammalia; Rodentia; Cricetidae.